UCCUCUGUAGUCCAGUCGGUAGAACGGCGGACUGUUAAUCCGUAUGUCACUGGUUCGAGUCCAGUCAGAGGAGCCA
RNAcentral lists this transfer RNA (76 nucleotides) under Escherichia coli. RNAcentral describes it as "tRNA-Asn". It matches the Rfam family "tRNA". From Rfam's summary of the family: Transfer RNA (tRNA) molecules are approximately 80 nucleotides in length. Their secondary structure includes four short double-helical elements and three loops (D, anti-codon, and T loops). Further hydrogen bonds mediate the characteristic L-shaped molecular structure. tRNAs have two regions of fundamental functional importance: the anti-codon, which is responsible for specific mRNA codon recognition, and the 3' end, to which the tRNAs corresponding amino acid is attached (by aminoacyl-tRNA synthetases). tRNAs cope with the degeneracy of the genetic code in two manners: having more than one tRNA (with a specific anti-codon) for a particular amino acid; and 'wobble' base-pairing, i.e. permitting non-standard base-pairing at the 3rd anti-codon position. The record is from RNAcentral. Lineage: Bacteria; Pseudomonadati; Pseudomonadota; Gammaproteobacteria; Enterobacterales; Enterobacteriaceae. RNAcentral also lists the same sequence under 1 other name.